UUAACUCAAAUUUGUUUGGAGUUCAAACGUUUGCCUACGUUUGCCGCUAGGGGCGCUAUUCCAACUGCAUACAAAUUUGAGUUA
Molecule: non-coding RNA, 84 nt
Organism: Bombyx mori (domestic silkworm)
Lineage: Eukaryota; Metazoa; Arthropoda; Insecta; Lepidoptera; Bombycidae
Source: Rfam